UUCCGAACGAAGCCGAGUUAUCCGAAAUAGAGGAAGGAGAAGGACUCGGACUCCCGAUUUUGUUACACGUCGCAGCCAACAUGGCUAAAGGAGUCGACCCCAAUCUCGGCUCCUCCUGGAACAAAAGAAGUUAAAAGCAGGAGGGGGGACAGAGAGACCAGAUGUCCCUGUGUGUGCAGGGCUGCCAAGUGAGGCUAGGGCAGUGGAGCCCGAGACACAAGAGCCCAAAUGGUGUGACAAAGGAGGAGCAGGAAGCCUGGCUCUGCCUGGAUGAACCUCAGAGAGCGCCAGUCCACAUCCACAUCCCAGCCCCAACCCCUCGGCGCAUGUCCCACAACCCCAUUGAACUACUAGAGCAGGGCCGUGGACCAUGUGCAGACUUUCUGCUGGAUCACACAACCAUAGACAUGAUCACAGGAGUGUAAACGCUGACAUAUGAUCACUACUACAGGACAAGUGUGUGGAGUUUAAGCAAAAAGCUCACACACAUGCACAGGCACUGACCAGAAAGAUGCCACUGAAACCUCGAGAACAUUGCUGGUUUGAAUCUCAUACCAUCAGAUGCCAAGAUCUCGCUGCUUUUGAAUAACCUGGAUGUUCUCAGCAUCGUUUCAUCUGAAAAAUAAGGAAAAAUCUAAUUGAAGAAGAAGUAAACCUGAGAGAAUUGUGGAACAGAGGUAUGAAGGAGGGGCUUGCUAAAGGAAGCCAGGACAGUCUCGCCAUGCAAUUUAAUCACUGUAUACCCAGGCAAGUAUUGACAGUUGUCCUGUGGAAGCUAUUAAAGUUGCUGUCCAAGGUUAAAUGAAAUUGCAGUUUAUCAGGGGAGCAUUGAGAAAAUAAGGGAAUCUGCUGGAGCCGGCUGAUUAAUGUGGAGCAUGAUCAACACAAGGGGGUUCAUUAACCCAUACAUCACUAGGGUAAUUUAACAUGUCAUCGCGCCUGCUGUCUCCCCCUGCAACACAUGUAUUUAUGUGUGCGUGGGGGUGUGAGAUUGUGUAUGUACAUCAAAGAAUCAGUGUCGGUUUGGGUGUUGGCUGAUCUUAUAUUGUGAGGAAUGAUAUGCAGCAUUGUAUUGUGCUGAAAUAAAAUAACAGUAAUUGCUAAAAUGCUCCUCCCCACAUUUGGUGUUUGUAGGUGCAUGAUGGGUAAAAUAUGACAUGGAAGGGUAACCUUCACAUAUAAGUAUUUCUGUAGGCAAUUU
Long non-coding RNA from Cyprinus carpio (common carp), 1201 nucleotides. RefSeq lists it as uncharacterized. NCBI's taxonomy places the organism in Eukaryota, Metazoa, Chordata, Actinopteri, Cypriniformes, Cyprinidae. The record is from RefSeq and is a predicted model, not a curated record. The transcript is spliced from 4 exons.